RNAcentral lists this transfer RNA (77 nucleotides) under Saccharomonospora viridis. Its description in RNAcentral is "tRNA-Leu". It matches the Rfam family "tRNA". Rfam says of the family: Transfer RNA (tRNA) molecules are approximately 80 nucleotides in length. Their secondary structure includes four short double-helical elements and three loops (D, anti-codon, and T loops). Lineage: Bacteria; Bacillati; Actinomycetota; Actinomycetes; Pseudonocardiales; Pseudonocardiaceae. The record is from RNAcentral. RNAcentral also lists the same sequence under 6 other names.
GCCCCCGUAGCCCAAUCGGCAGAGGCAGUCGACUUAAAAUCGACUCAGUGCGGGUUCGAGUCCCGUCGGGGGCACCA